Molecule: ribosomal RNA, 350 nt
Filed under: uncultured bacterium
Lineage: Bacteria
Description: partial 16S ribosomal RNA
Rfam family: Bacterial small subunit ribosomal RNA
Source: RNAcentral
CCUACGGGCGGCAGCAGUGGGGAAUAUUGCGCAAUGGGCGAAAGCCUGACGCAGCGACGCCGCGUGAGGGAUGAAGGUCUUCGGAUCGUAAACCUCUGUCAGCAGGGAAGAACGGUCACGGGGCUAAUCAGCAGUGAAUUGACGGUACCUGCAAAGGAAGCACCGGCUAACUCCGUGCCAGCAGCCGCGGUAAUACGGAGGGUGCGAGCGUUAAUCGGAAGUACUGGGCGUAAAGCGCGCGUAGGCGGUAUGUCAAGUCAAGGGUGAAAUCCCCGCUCUCCUCGUGGGAACUGCCUUUGAACCUUGCAACCUGGAGUGUGUGAGAGGAUAGUGGACUUCCCGGUGUCGGC